CCUACGGGUGGCAGCAGUUUCGAAUCAUUCACAAGUGGCGAAAGCCUGAUGGUGCGACGCGCGUGAGGGAUGAAGGUCUUCGGAUUGUAAACCUCUGUCACUGGGGAGAAAACGCUUUGAGUUAAUAGUUCAAAGCCUGAUUUAACCCGGAGAGGAAGCAGUGGCUAACUCUGUGCCAGCAGCCGCGGUAAUACAGAGACUGCAAGCGUUAUUCGGAUUCACUGGGCGUAAAGGGUGCGCAGGCGGUUGGGUGUGUCAGAUGUGAAAAUCCCGAGGCUUAACCUCGGAACUGCGUCUGAAACUACUCGACUAGAGUACUGGAGAGGGAAACGGAAUUCACGGUGUAGCAGUGAAAUGCGUAGAUAUCGUGAGGAACACCAGAGGCGAAGGCGGUUUCCUGGACAGUUACUGACGCUCAGGCACGAAAGCAUGGGGAGCAAAAGGGAUUAGAUACCCCUGUAGUCCAUGCCCUAAACGGUGCACACUAGGUCUUGGCGGAUUCGACCCCACCAGGGCCCAAGCUA
Molecule: ribosomal RNA, 524 nt
Filed under: uncultured bacterium
Lineage: Bacteria
Description: bacterial SSU rRNA
Rfam family: Bacterial small subunit ribosomal RNA
Source: RNAcentral